UUAAAUGUUUUCUAGGGUUCCGCAAUUUAAAGUUGGCCUGGUCCGAGAGAAAACUCACAGCUUUGCUGUGUCACGGAAGGAUAAAAGCCUGGGAGAA
Molecule: small RNA, 97 nt
Filed under: Bacillus sp. (in: firmicutes)
Lineage: Bacteria; Bacillati; Bacillota; Bacilli; Caryophanales; Bacillaceae
Description: Bacillus sp. Guanidine-I sequence
Rfam family: Guanidine-I riboswitch aptamer
About the family: This family represents a conserved RNA structure found upstream of the ykkC and yxkD genes in Bacillus subtilis and related genes in other bacteria. The function of this family is unclear although it has been suggested that it may function to switch on efflux pumps and detoxification systems in response to harmful environmental molecules.
Source: RNAcentral